Leucoraja erinaceus (little skate) is the source of this 5168-nucleotide long non-coding RNA. RefSeq lists it as uncharacterized. The transcript is spliced from 3 exons. The record is from RefSeq and is a predicted model, not a curated record. NCBI's taxonomy places the organism in Eukaryota, Metazoa, Chordata, Chondrichthyes, Rajiformes, Rajidae.
CUCUCUCUCUCUCUCUCAUCGCCCCACAGUCCUGGGAGCAGGGGGAGGCCAUUCAGCCCAUCGAUUUGAUGCUGCUGUCAGCACGAUCUUAAAAGCUUUUCACUGUACCUCGGUACACGUGAUAAUAAACUAAACUGAAACUUCUACCUCAACUCAUUGUCAGCAAGAUAUUUUACUAAAGCUACUUGUCAGCAAGAUCUUCCAUCUCAGCGCGAGUCUGAAGAAGGGUUUCGGCUCGAAACGCCGCCUAUUUUCUUCGCUCCAUAGAUGCUGCUGCACCCGCUGAGCUUCUCCAGCAACUUUGUGUACCUUCUUCCAUCUCAGCACCUUGUCAACAAGAUCUUUUACCUCGGGCAGAUAUUCAACCUCAUUUUGUCAGCAAGAUUUUCCACCUCACUUUGUCCAAAAGAUUUUCUACCUCAACUUAUUGUCAAAAAGACCUUCCAUUUCAGCUAAUUUUCUUGGACUAUUCCCACAUCCUUUGAUUUCCUCACAAAUAAAAAUCAAUGGAUUACUGAUUGGUCAAUUGUACGCUACACUCUAUACGCUCGAGACAAAGACACAAGGAACUGUAGAUGUUGGAUGCACCUGAGUUAAACUUGAAAAAGACACCAAAUAAAAUUGGUGAAUGCAGUAGCCUGUGUGGUUAUAAAUGAACAGGAGAAGGAAAGACAACUUUCUCUCUUUCACUGCCUGCGAUCCAUGUAGCACAAGGAGGCCAUGCAGCCCAUUGGCCCGGUGCUGCAGUCAGCAAGAUCUUCUACCUCAGCUCCCUGUCAGCAAGACCUUCCACCUCAGCUAAUUUUUUUUGACUAUCUCCAUAUCCUUUGAUUCCCUCAAAAACAGAAAUCAAUGGCAUCAAAUACAACCAAUAAUUAAGCCUCCAUAUCUUUUUCAGUCAGGCAGUCAAACUGCUGAAUCGAGGAGAUUGAUGCUCCAGAUAUUGAAGCUGGGCGAUGGAAGAUCCCGUGACUGAUUUUAAGCCGCGCCGGGUGAUGAAAGGCCCUGCGAAUGGGCUGAUUCAAACCUUGCGAUUCGGAAUGGAUGAAGUUGCUGUUGCCCGAGCUCCUGAAAAAUGGGUCGCCAACCAGGGACCUGCGAGCUCCCAAUUUUACAGACCGCAGGGCCCGCAGCCGAAGCCUCCGAGGCCUCCGAAAGUCGAUUUGCAGCCGCAAUUGCAGCACCACCACAGCCUCCGAAAGCCAGCGAGCCCCGCGAUGGUCAGUUCACAGGCUCUGCAACUGGAGCCCUCAAGGUCGAUUCCAGUUGGAGGCAGCCAGCAACUGGAAUGUUAGGUCGCAGCACGAACGGAGAUAUGGCACGGAAAAAAGUCACAUCUCCGUUGAAGAAGGAGAUUUUAAAAAGUUUUCCUCACCCCACCCCACCCCCACAUGUACACAACUAAAAAAUACUAUAACAUACAUCUAACAUGAACGAUAAGACAAAGAAGGAAGAAAUACAGACAGACUGCAGGCGUGCCACAUCUGCAGACACAGCGCUGCCACUUGUAUAUCUUGGCAUCAUGCUUUAUUUGAUAACUCUUGUGAAAUGCCUUGGUGCAUUUUAUUAUGUAAAAGGCCCAAAUAAACAGAGAAUUGAUGUUAUCACAAAGUACAAAAUGGGAUUGUGUAAUUUGUCCACAUAAUAAUAUUUACUGACAUUUGAUAGCACAUGGAUUCGUACUGGAUUAAGACAAAGAAUCCGUUUCAAAUCAUUCUUCUAAAAUACGCACAAUACACUAUUCACACACAAAUGCAAUUUGUUUCUCAAAAGAGUUCCCUGAGUGUAACAGACAAAAUGUGUAGGAAAGAACUGCAGAUGCUGGUUUAAAUCGAAGAUAGGCACAAAAUGCUGGAGUAACUCAGCGGUUCAGGCAGCAUUUCUGGAGAGAACGCAUGGGUGACGUUUCGGGUCGAGUCACUUCUUCAGACUGAUGUCAGGGGAGUGGGUGGUACAGAGAUAAAAUGGAGUCGGAGACAAUAAGACUGUUGGAGAACUGGGAACGGAGAGGGAAUGGAGAGGGGGAAAAGCGAGGGCAACCUGAAGUUAGAGAAGUCAAUGUUCAUACUGCUGGUGAUAGAGAUAGUGAGAUCUAGAAACGGUAGGGAGAUGUCGGAGAUGGUCCAAGUGAAUUUAAGUGCAGGAUGGAAAUUAGUUGUGAGGUUAAUGAAGUCAGUGAGUUCUGCAUGGGUGCAGGAAGUAGCAUUGAUGCAAUCGUCAAUCCCUUAACAACUUCUCCUUCGACUCCUCCCACUUCCUCUAAAUCCAAGGCAUAGGUAAGGGCACUCGCAUGAGCCCCAGCGAUGCCGGAAGUGGCGGCGCUGUUAACAGCUGCGGCUCGCCUGCAGUCCGCCUGUCUUUACUUUUUUCUUAAGAAAAGAUCUUAAAAGCUUUUCACUGUACCUCGGUACACGUGAUAAGAAACUAAACUGAAACUUCUACCUCAACUCAUUGUCAGCAAGAUAUUUUACUAAAGCUACUUGUCAGCAAGAUCUUCCAUCUCAGCACCUUGUCAACAAGAUCUUUUACCUCAGGCAGAUAUUCAACCUCAUUUUGUCAGCAAGAUUUUCCACCUCACUUUGUCCGAAAGAUUUUCUACCUCAACUUAUUGUCAAAAAGACCUUCCAUUUCAGCUAAUUUUCUUGGACUAUUCCCACAUCCUUUGAUUUCCUCACAAAUAAAAAUCAAUGGAUUACUGAUUGGUCAAUUGUAUGCUACACUCUAUACGCUAGAGACAAAGACACAAGGAACUGUAGAUGUUGGAUGCACCUGAGUUAAACUUGAAAAAGACACCAAAAUAAAUUGGUGAAUGCAGUAGCCUGUGUGGUUAUAAAUGAACAGGAGAGGGAAAGACAACUUUCUCUCUUUCACUGCCUGCGAUCCAUUUAGCAAGAGGAGGCCAUUCAGCCCAUUGGCUCGGUGCUGCAGUCAGCAAGAUCUUCUACCUCAGCUCCCUGUCAGCAAGACCUCAGCUAAUUUUUUUGGACUAUCUCCAUAUCCUUUGAUUCCCUCAAAAACAGAAAUCAAUGGCAUCAAAUACAACCAAUAAUUAAGCCUCCAUAUCUUUUUCAGUCAGGCAGUCAAACUGCUGAAUCGAGGAGAUUGAUGCUCCCGAUAUUGAAGCCCCCGCUGGGCGAUGGAAGAUCCCGUGACUGAUUUUAAGCCGCGCCGGGCGAUGAAAGGCCCUGCGAAUGGGCUGAUUCAAACCUUGCGAUUCGGGGUGGACGAAGUUGCUGUUGCCCGAGCUCCUGAAAAAUGGGUCGCCAACCAGGGACCUGCGAGCUCCCAAUUUUACAGACCGCAGGGCCCGCAGCCGAAGCCUCCGAGGCCUCCGAAAGUCGAGUCGCAGCCGCAAUUGCAGCACCACCACAGCCUCCGAAAGCCAGCGAGCCCCGCGAUGGUCAGUUCACAGGCUCUGCGACUGGAGCCCUCAAGGUCGAUUCCAGUUGGAGGCAGCCAGCAACUCGAAUGUUAGGCCGCAGCGCGAACGGAGAUGUGGCACGGAAAAAAGUCACAUCUCCGUUGAAGAAGGAAAUUUAAAAAAGUUUUCCCCACCCCCCACAUGUACACAACUAAAAAUAUACUAUAACAUACAUCUAACAUGAACGAUAAGACAAAGAAGGAAGAAAUACAGACAGACUGCAGGCGUGCCACAUCUGCAGACACAGCGCUGCCACUUGUAUAUCUUGGCAUCAUGCUUUAUUUGAUAACUCUCGUGAAAUGCCUUGGUGCAUUUUAUUAUGUAAAAGGCCCAAAUAACCAGAGAAUUGAUGUUAUCACAAAGUACAAAAUGGGAUUGUGUAAUUUGUCCACAUAAUAACAAUAUUUAUUGACAUUUGAUAGCACAUGGAUUCGUACUGGAUUAAGACAAAGAAUCCGUUUCAAAUCAUUCUUCUAAAAUACACACAAUACAGUAUUCACACACAAAUGCAAUUUGUUUCUCAAAAGAGUUCCCUGAGUGUAACAGACAAAAUGUGUAGGAAAGAACUGCAGAUGCUGGUUUAAAUCGAAGAUAGGCACAAAAUGCUGGAGUAACUCAGCGGUUCAGGCAGCAUUUCUGGAGAGAACGCAUGGGUGACGUUUCGGGUCGAGUCACUUCUUCAGACUGAUGUCAGGGGAGUGGGUGGUACAGAGAUAAAAUGGAGUCGGAGACAAUAAGACUGUUGGAGAACUGGGAACGUAGAGGGGAUGGAGAGGGGAAAAGCGAGGGCAACCUGAAGUUAGAGAAGUCAAUGUUCAUACCGCUGGUGAUAGAGAUAGUGAGAUCUAGAAAUGGUAGGGAGAUAUCGGAGAAGGUCCAAGUGAAUUUAAGUGCAGGAUGGAAAUUAGUUGUGAGGUUAAUGAAGUCAGUGAGUUCUGCAUGGGUGCAGGAAGUAGCAUUGAUGCAAUCGUCAAUCCCUUAACAACUUCUCCUUCGACUCCUCCCAUUUCCUCUAAAUCCAAGGCAUAGGUAAGGGCACUCACAUGAGCCCCAGCUAUGCCUGCCCUUUUGUUGGGUACGUCAAACAAUCACUGUUCCAGGUGUACACUGGCCCAAACCCGGAACUCUACCUCCUCUACAUUGAUGACUGCGCCCAUGCAGAACUCACUGACUUCAUAAACCUAAUGACUAAUUUACAUCCUGCACUCAAAUUCACUUGGACCAUCUCCGACAUCUCCCUACCAUUUCUAGAUCUCACCGUCUCCAUCACAGGAGACAGACUAUUACCCGACAUCUACUACAAACCCACUGACUCCCAUGGCUAUCUAGACUACAUUUCUUCCCAUCCUGCUUCCUGUAAAGACUCUAUCCUAAUUCCUCCGUCUACACCGCAUCUGUGCCCAAGAUGAGGUGUUCCAUACCAGGUCAUCGGAGAUGUCCUCAUCCUUUAGGGAAUGGAUGUUCCCCUCUUCUAUUGUGGAUGAAGCUCUCACUAGGGUCUCCUCGAUAUCCACAGCUCUGCUCUUGCUCCCCCUCCCCCCCAAUCAUUACAAGCACAGUCCCCCUUGUCCUCACCUUCCUACCCCAUCAACUGUCGCAUAUUCCUCCAACAUUUUCGCCACCUUCAACAGGAUCCCACCACUAGCCACAUCUUCCCAUCUCCACCCCUUUCCGCUUUCCACAGAAACUAUUCCCUCCGCAACUCCCUGGUCAACUCGGCCCUUCCCACCUAAACCACCCCUCCCCA